UUCGCAAUGCCCGAAAGGGUGACGAAGCGACGCCGCGUGUGGGAAGAAGGCCUUCGGGUUGUAAACCACUGUCGGGAGUUAAGAAAUGCAAGGAUAUUAAUAGUGUCUUUGUUUGACUAAGGCUCCGGAGGAAGCCACGGCUAACUCUGUGCCAGCAGCCGCGGUAAUACAGAGGCGGCAAGCGUUGUUCGGAAUUAUUGGGCGUAAAGAGCACGUAGGCGGCUAUGUAAGUCGGUUGUGAAAGCCUUCCGCUCAACGGAAGAACAGCAUCCGAUACUACAUGGCUUGAGUGCGGGAGGGGAGAGUGGAACUUCUGGUGGAGCGGUGAAAUGCGUAGAUAUCAGAAGGAACGCCGGCGGCGAAAGCGGCUCUCUGGCCCAUAACUGACGCUGAGUGUGCAAAAGCUAGGGGAGCAAACGGGAUUAGAUACCCCGGUAGUCCUAGCCGUAAAC
Molecule: ribosomal RNA, 452 nt
Filed under: uncultured bacterium
Lineage: Bacteria
Description: bacterial SSU rRNA
Rfam family: Bacterial small subunit ribosomal RNA
Source: RNAcentral